GAAGCACAGAAGGGUUUCCCAUGGCGCCGCCCCCGGUCCGGUUCCCGGUGGCGGAUGUGCCCGGGGAGGCCGGGACCGGGCGGACGAGGGAAGCAGCCCAGGGGCCGUGAGGUUUGUCGGCUGUGGCCGUGUACUUCGCCCCGGAGGAGUGGGGGUGUCUGCGGCCCGCGCAGAAGGCCCUGAACCGGGACGUGACGCGGGAGACCUAUGGCUUCCUGGGCGCGCUCGGUGGAAAGAGAGGUGGAGGCGUGAAGCCCAGAGGCCCAGGAUCCAGAUCUCGGCAGCUGUGAGCAGAAACGAGGGAAAGGUCCUUCACUUCAAACCCCAGUGCAUUCUGCUUUCUGGACUGUAUCUCUCCCGCUCCUCAGAGACGGAGUACCCUAGAUGCAAGAGCCAAUUAAAGGAGCUGGUGCUCCCUGGAAUAGAGGGCACGCUUCGGGCCUGUCCGCACUGGGGAAGCUCAUCCAAGGAUUCUGUCUUUUACCCAGAGCAGGUCAAGUAGCUAGCAAGGACACACAUGUGGUGUCAAGCCUCUGUUGGCAUUGUUUGGUCUUGAAGACUUUAAGAGGUGGCCGUAAAGAGGACAGUGGCUUCAGAUAUUUGCAUGUUUCCUGGAUUUUGCAUCUUUUGAGUAAAGAUGUAUUCUUGGGCCACAGCAGCUGGAAAUAUGAUGAUGGGGAAUUUUUUUUUUUAAAGGAGUAUAUUACUUGUGAUUAGAGUUGAAAUCAAGGCAUAGUUAUCUUCCGACUUAAUUUUUACUGUAAUGUUUGUAUGUGUCAACAGUUGAGAGGUCUUUCUGACCUAUUUAGAUUUGCUAGCCCUACUUUAGAACAGGAAACUCUUGAAGGGAUAAAAGCAAGGAGGUGGGGGGGACUAAGCAUGUCUGCAUGUCAGGAGUGGUGCUAGGUGGCUCAAAUAUCUCUUGACCAAAAGACUGCUUCUCCAAAUACCUGGGUUCCAAAGAUGAUUAUUAAUGGGAACUGAGGGUUAUUUUUACUUCACCACAUAGCCUCUCCUGAAUUGGGAGACCUGGAUUCCAGGUUCAGCUCAGUCCCCACUAGCUGUGUGGCCUUAAGCAUAUUAUAUUAUUACAUUAUUCAGAUGUAAACUGACAAGUAAAAUUUAUGAACUAUAAUGACCUCCUGCGUGUUUCCUAACUUCUCAUAAUUAUCUGAUCAAGAUUCUUCAACAAACAUUUACAGUUUGGUGGGCAAUAAAACAAUUUGAAAGCA
Non-coding RNA from Delphinapterus leucas (beluga whale), 1232 nucleotides. The record is from RefSeq and is a predicted model, not a curated record. Lineage: Eukaryota; Metazoa; Chordata; Mammalia; Artiodactyla; Monodontidae.